UACGGAGGGUGCAAGCGUUAUCCGGAUUCACUGGGUUUAAAGGGAGCGCAGGCGGAUUAGUAAGUCAGUGGUGAAAGCCUUAAGCUUAACUUGGGAACUGCCAUUGAUACUAUUAGUCUUGAAUGUUGUUGAGGUUUGCGGAAUGGGUCAUGUAGCGGUGAAAUGCAUAGAUAUGACCCGGAACACCUAUUGCGAAGGCAGCAGGCUAAACAAAUAUUGACGCUGAGGCUCGAAAGCGUGGGGAUCAAACAGG
RNAcentral lists this ribosomal RNA (253 nucleotides) under uncultured bacterium. Its description in RNAcentral is "partial 16S ribosomal RNA". It matches the Rfam family "Bacterial small subunit ribosomal RNA", at positions 524 to 776 of the family's 1533-position model. The record is from RNAcentral.